This 555-nucleotide long non-coding RNA is filed under the name Homo sapiens (human). RNAcentral describes it as "non-protein coding lnc-SLC38A11-1:2". The record is from RNAcentral. Lineage: Eukaryota; Metazoa; Chordata; Mammalia; Primates; Hominidae.
CUCUCUGUGUGCUUUAUCUGACUGUAGUAGGCUGAAUAAAGGCCUCCAAAGAUGUCCCCAUUCUAAGCCCUGGAACCUGUGAAUGUUACUUUACAUAGCAAAAGGGACUAUGCAGAUGUGACUAAGAAUCUUGAGAUAGGGAGAUUAUCCUGGGGAUUAUCCAGGUGGGCCCUAAAUGCAAUUUCAAGUGUCCUUAUAAGAGAGAUUGAGAAGGAAACUUCACCACAGAGCAGGAAAAAAAUCAGUGUGACCAUGGAAGCAGAGAUUGAAGUGAUGUGGUCACAAGGCAAGGAAUGCUGGCAGCCACCAGACACCAGAAGAGGUGAGGAACGGAUUCUCCCCCGAACCUCCAGAGGGAAGACAGCCCUACUGUCACCUUGAUUUUAGUCCAGUGAUGUUGAUUUCAGACUCUGGCCUCCAGAACUCACAGUGACCCAUGAUUUUCAAGAUGGUGGCUGCUUUGUCAGAUGAAUUCCGGAGUGACCACAAGCAGAGAUCUCCUAACGACCCAUGAUGGGUAGUGUGAGCAACUGGCAGCCUCCUAGGAGGAGGUGU